UGGGGAAUAUUGGACAAUGGGGGCAACCCUGAUCCAGCAAUGCCGCGUGUGUGAAGAAGGUCUUCGGAUUGUAAAGCACUUUCGACGGGGACGAUGAUGACGGUACCCGUAGAAGAAGCCCCGGCUAACUUCGUGCCAGCAGCCGCGGUAAUACGAAGGGGGCUAGCGUUGCUCGGAAUGACUGGGCGUAAAGGGCGUGUAGGCGGUUUACACAGUCAGAUGUGAAAUCCCCGGGCUUAACCUGGGAGCUGUAUUUGAUACGUGUAGACUAGAGUGUGAGAGAGGGUUGUGGAAUUCCCAGUGUAGAGGUGAAAUUCGUAGAUAUUGGGAAGAACACCGGUGGCGAAGGCGGCAACCUGGCUCAUGACUGACGCUGAGGCGCGAAAGCGUGGGGAGCAAACAGGAUUAGAUACCCUGGUAGUCCACGCUGUAAACGAUGUGUGCUAGAUGUUGGGUAACUUU
This 462-nucleotide ribosomal RNA is filed under the name uncultured bacterium. RNAcentral's name for it is "partial 16S ribosomal RNA". It matches the Rfam family "Bacterial small subunit ribosomal RNA", at positions 355 to 834 of the family's 1533-position model. The record is from RNAcentral.